Non-coding RNA from Danio rerio (zebrafish), 2466 nucleotides. The record is from Ensembl. Lineage: Eukaryota; Metazoa; Chordata; Actinopteri; Cypriniformes; Danionidae.
UACACACGCGCCAAACACUCUCUCUCUCUCUCUCUCCUGUCUGUCUCUCCCUCCCUCAGCUUCACUCGCUCUUGUGCUGUAAGUUCAUUUGCUGUGUCAAGCAACAACUGGCUCGGGAGUGGGCAGUGGGUUUUGAUCCUUUUGUCAAGCGUCCCCCCUGCGAGCGUGUACCGCGUCCACCUGCACACCACGGGACUGGUCGCCUGGCUCUGUGUAGCAUCGCCUGGGUUUAUCACGAUUGGGCAUCUCCAACCCGCACAACAAGAUGCUGCUGAGGGUUUGACGGGGUGCACCCUUUACAGUGGACUAUCAUCACCAUCAUCAUCAUCGCCGUGGCAAUGGGAAUCAAGACAUGCAUGCUCGCCGGAGGACCUCCACGGGGUCCUUGCAUCCCAGGUGAGUUUACGCUGUUGGGGGGGGCUUACCCAUAACCCCCUUCGCCCCAUCCCCCCUGCUUCUUCAUUAAAUGCACCUUUCCCCCGAACGGCCCUGUGAGAGCACAGAUUGCUGGGAGGAAACGGGACACAAAACACACUUACCAACACAUUUCCUCUGAGGCGUUUACUGAACCAAAAUGCACUGUUAAUUUCUGUUUGCAGACGAGCCGUUGAGGGGCCCUUGCCUUGCGCUACAAAGCGUCUUCAAUCAAUUGUUUUGAAAAAGGCCGUUUUCCGAACAACAGGCAGGCGGUUCUGUUGUUUCCCUCUAUAAAGGACUCUCUUCGGUGACGGGUAUUCUUGGGUGGAUAAUACGGCUCUCGUUGUUAUUGCUUAAGAAUACGCGUAGUCGAGGAGAGUCAUGUCGGCGGCGAGAGAGCGUUGAAUCCAGAAGGCCCACCUGCCUGCACGCACACAUGCGUUUGGUUCACGCCCACAUCCAUUUAUUGAGUCAGCGAUACUGCAUUUCCUGUUUGUGUGUGUGUGUGGUUGUGUGUGAAGCUUGUGCUGUUGAUUUAUCCGGCGACUCCUACCAAACAUCUUUUCAGCCAUCGGAUUUAUGAUUCGCCGAAAAAAGAAGGGAAUGGUGUAUGUUGUAACACAUCGGGCGGGGUUUAGAUGCAAAUGUGCCAUAUAUUCUUUUCUCAGGACCGCACACACUCUACCUUUUUAAUGCAAAUUGAUUUUGAAAUGACAUUUAUCGCGCAGGGUUUCCGUAUGGAGAGGGGAAAAAAGAAUUGAAUGAAACGUCCACGAUGCCACUGACAGCUAAAUUUAUGCGGCUUGUAAAGGGACACACUGCAGAUAAACAGUUACCGAGGCUUUAGAUUGACUGCGGCGCGGCUUCCCAUGUAGGCACGCGUAUAUAUCUUGAAUGUAUCAUGAAUAUGUAUCAGGCCAGCUUAUGAUGCUGCGUUCUAACGCCCAUGAAAUCCAUUUAGGAAACCUAAUAGGAUCUACUUGACUUAUGAAAGCUUACCAUCAGGUCUUAUAAAUAUACAUGAAAUCAAAACAAAUGGAUUGCAUUUGGACCGGCUUGUUGAUGUACUGAUUUGUAAAAUCUGCAAACAUUUUAAUUCGUUCGCCAUUAUUAUGCAGCACGUUUAAGUGAUGUAUUAGCAUUUCAGAUAGACUAAAGGCAACAAUCAGCCCGCUCUAUCCUUGAUCACUCUGUAAUUAUCCUUCUUUCGGCUAUGUGUUUAAAUGAAUAGAGAGAAAAGAGGUGUGGAGGAGGAAUAAUGUAGGGUUUUACCACUAGGGGACCCACACAACUGAAAAUCACAUGGGAUUGUAUUGGUUUAACUCAUUUGACUGCCGUUUCUUAAAGAUUUAAAAUGAAUAUUGAUGAAAAUCUAACACCUUUCGGCUGAUUAAAACGAGUUUAUUCUUUGCACGCAGAUUUAAAAUGAAUGACGUUUCAUUUAUUCCUUUAUUAAUUUAUGCUAAACCGUGCCUUGAGAGAGAAUUGCAAGAAAGGUCACAUGCAAGCCAUUUGAUUAGCCAUUAUAUGAUAUAUUAAGAGUAUUUUCUUGUAUUUCAGAUGCUUAAAUGAUUCCAUGCUCCCAUAGUUCUGAUGUAUGAUAGCAUGUUGGUCGACUUUCUUUCUCUUUUUGUGAUGCUGUUGAGUAAAUAUCUCACUGUAAACCCUUGACACUGAUUAACUUCCAUCUGUCUGCAGUUUAUGACGUGAUGAAAUUACUCAGGCCUUCACAGCUCAUCUUGAAAUUAUUUUUAUGUGCACAUCAUCUUUGUUCCUCCCCCUUAUAUUAUAAAUAAAGCUUGAUUUAAGUCAAAUUAUGAUGCUUUUGUAUAUUUUGUCCCUUGUAGGUGAAGGAUCGGUUUUAAAUGUAGGCUACAAUGAAGCUUAAAAUCAAAUAAAAAUCCAUGUAUGGACACAACAAACAUUUCUGUCUUCGAAAAGCCUGUUGAGAUUUAUUGAGAUGUUUAUUUUUGCUAUGGGGUUUUUCUUGGUGUAGUGAUUAUUGAAUAAUAUUUCAUUAUUAGAGUGUCCUAGCAGGUGGCAUUCAGA